AGAGUUUGAUCCUGGCUCAGGACGAACGCUGGCGGCGUGCUUAACACAUGCAAGUCGAACGAGGGCCCGGAGCUUGCUCCGGUGACCCGAGUGGCGGACGGGUGAGUAACACGUGACUAACCUACCUUCGGGAGGGGGACAACCUGGGGAAACCUGGGCUAAUACCGCAUAUCGUCCAUGGGCCGCAUGACCUGUGGAUAAAAGGGAGCCUCUGCUUGCAAGCUCUCACCCGAAGAGGGGGUCGCGGCGUAUCAGCUAGUUGGUGGGGUAACGGCCUACCAAGGCAACGACGCGUAGCGGGUCUGAGAGGACGACCCGUCACAUUGGGACUGAGAUACGGCCCAGACUCCUACGGGAGGCAGCAGUGGGGAAUAUUGCGCAAUGGCCGAAAGGUUGACGCAGCGACGCCGCGUGUGGGAGGACGCCCUUCGGGGUGUAAACCACUGUCAGGGGGGAAGAACUUCGCAGGUGUUAAUAGCGCUUGCGGUUGACGGUACCCCCAGAGGAAGCGCCGGCUAACUCCGUGCCAGCAGCCGCGGUAAGACGGAGGGCGCAAGCGUUGUUCGGAAUUACUGGGCGUAAAGGGCAGGUAGGUGGUCUGUUAAGUCUUCUGUGAAAAUCCGGGGCUCAACCCCGCGAAAUGCAGGUG
RNAcentral lists this ribosomal RNA (649 nucleotides) under uncultured bacterium. Its description in RNAcentral is "bacterial SSU rRNA". It matches the Rfam family "Bacterial small subunit ribosomal RNA", at positions 8 to 629 of the family's 1533-position model. The record is from RNAcentral.